RNAcentral lists this ribosomal RNA (494 nucleotides) under uncultured bacterium. Its description in RNAcentral is "partial 16S ribosomal RNA". It matches the Rfam family "Bacterial small subunit ribosomal RNA", at positions 28 to 507 of the family's 1533-position model. The record is from RNAcentral.
GACGAACGCUGGCGGCGUGCUUAACACAUGCAAGUCGAACGGAAAGGCCUGCUUUCCCUUGUGGAUUGCGGGUACUCGAGUGGCGAACGGGUGAGUAACACGUGAGUGAUCUGCCCUCAACUUGGGUAUAAGCCUGGGAAACUGGGUCUAAUUCCCGAUAGGACUGCAGGGUGGUGCCUGUGGUGGAAAACGAUUUUCUAGUGGUUGGGGAUGAGCUCGCGGCCUAUCAGCUCGUUGGUGGGGUAAUGGCCUACCAAGGCGGCGACGGGUAGCCGGCCUGAGGGGGUGGACGGGCACAUUGGGACUGAGAAACGGCCCAGACACCUACGGGAGGCAGCAGUGGGGAAUAUUGGACGAUGGGCGGAAGCCUGAUGCAGCGACGCCGCGUGGAGGAUGACGGCCUUCGGGUUGUAAACUCCUUUCGACCGCGAGGAAGCCACCUGGUUGGAAGGGUGGUGACGGUAGUGGUAGAAGAAGCACCGGCUAACUACGUG